UUCGAGACCCCACUUUGGGUCCCGACCCCAACUUUGGGAAACACUGAUUUAGAGUAUCCUGGUUAGAAAGGUAGUAGCCUAUGUAUCAGUUAUUGAUUCGAAUCAUGCUCUGUGUUGAAACUUGUAAUAGGAGGUUAACCUUGUGCAGGACCUGUGUAUGGGCUGUACAGGUGGCUAUAUUUAGGGUAAGGGGUUAGGAUGUAGAAAAUAGUGGAAGUCGAUGCAAGUCCUCAACAAGAUAGUAAAACCCUAUGUGUGUGUGUGUGUGUGUGUGGUGGAUGCAAUCUUUGCUAAAUGACAGUGGGAGGCAGUCAGGUCUUUUUUAAGUCUUGCUAAUGACACGGGAUCCUUUGAGAGACGAUAAAAGCAAAGGUUGGGACGGAAGCUGCCCAGCACCUUGACCCUGUGAUUUGAGAAGGUGUUAAAUGCAGAAGCAGUAAAGGUCCAAACUCCGCCGUGCUUUGAAACCCACCCCACCCCCUCCUCCGGGAGAACAGGCCAAAGCUGCAAACAACAGGCAGAUCCUUUCAGCCUCGGUCACACGGCUGCUUCAAACGCUCACAUCAAAUAGCACAGAACUAGCAGUCGCCGCUGACGUGCCAAGACAGACAGGAGUUGGGUGGAAAGUCGGAUGGGUCCCCGAGUUGGGUUGCGGAGGCAAAAGGUCCAGGAGAGAAACCCUGACAUCCCUCCCCCCAGUGAGAUUUUCCACCUCGUCCUAAGGGACCCCAAGGCGUUCUAAGGCCAGAGAGGAUACUAAAUCCCUCCAGUGAGUCCUGGGUCUUCCCCCUGGGCCUCCKGCUGGUGGUACAUGCCCAGAAUACCUCUAAAGGGUGAGAUCAAAGAGACAUCCUAAUCAGAUGCCCGAACCACCUCAACUGACCCCUUUUGAUGCGGAGGAGCAGUGGCUUUACUCUGAGUUCUCCCCGGAUGACGUAACUCCUCGUCUAAGGCUGAGCCCGGCCACCCUAUGAAAGAAACUCUUUUUAGCUGCUUGUAUCCAUGAUCUCCUUCCUUCAGUCAUGAUCCAUGACUCAUGACCAUAGGUUCAUGAUACUUAAACUCCUCCACUUUCCUUUUCCGGUCGAGACCCAUGGCCUCAGAUUUAAAGGAACUGACUCUCAUCCCAGCCACUUCACACUUGGCUGCAAACUGCCCCAGAGCACGAUGAAAGUCUUGGCCUGAAGAUGACAACAUAACAUCAUCCACAUAAAGCAGAGACAAGACUCUGUGGUUCCAAACCAGACACCCUCCUCUCCACAAGUGUGCCUUGAGACCCUGUCCAUAAACACUACAAACAGGAUCGGAGACAUGGGACAGCCCUGGCAGAGAGUCCAACCAGCACUGAGAAAAAGCUCCUGCUCUGGUCAUAUAGGCACUGGAUCACUCUUAAUAGCAACCCAGACAUUCUAUACUCCCACAGCACAACCCCUCACAGGAUGCCUCAAGGAAUACGAUCAUAAGCCUUCUCCAUGUCUGAAAAACUCAUGUAGACCAGAGAUGUAAACUCCCAUGACUCCUUUAGCAACUCYGCAAAAUAUCUGGUCCACUGUUCCACAACCAGGGYAGAAGCCACAGUGCUCCUCUUGCAUUUGUGAUUCGAUGAUCGAUUUCUACUUUAACAAUUUCCAUUUAACAAAAGUGUAACAAUAAAACAUUGGAGCAGACACAGAAACAAUCAUAUUUGAAACCAUCCGUAGCUUAUUCACAACUUGAGGGUUUUGCCAGAUUGAAGUUCUAAAAUUACAUGUAAGAAACUGGAAGACAAACUUGCUUUCUCACGUGAGUUAUUGCAUGUUUCUCUAUCUGUGUCCUUUUCCUGACAAUCUGAGUUGUACAACCCUGUGUUCAGCUAUGUGUUCAUCUGUUGUAUAAAAAAUAAAAUAAAACAGUGGUCUUUUUUCUGUA
This is a long non-coding RNA of Austrofundulus limnaeus, 1908 nucleotides long. RefSeq lists it as uncharacterized. The transcript is spliced from 2 exons. The record is from RefSeq and is a predicted model, not a curated record. Lineage: Eukaryota; Metazoa; Chordata; Actinopteri; Cyprinodontiformes; Rivulidae.